Molecule: small RNA, 590 nt
Filed under: Pongo abelii (Sumatran orangutan)
Lineage: Eukaryota; Metazoa; Chordata; Mammalia; Primates; Hominidae
Description: processed transcript
Source: RNAcentral
GAAAUGCUCGGCUGACCCGGAGGGUGGCGCUUCAUUCACACUGGCUGUUGUCAUCCGCCCCUGAGGUUUCAGGCUGUCGGCAGUGAAGGUCAGAGUGCAGACCUGAGACCACUGCUCACCGACUCCAGACUCCAGUUUAUCUGUGCCCCAGCUUCCUCACUUAGUCGCAGAAGACUUAGGCUGAGGCCCCAGGAGGAGAUCUCCAUCCUUUGCAGGAGCACAACAAAUGGCCAUGUCCCAGGAAUCAUUGACCUUCAAGGACGUGUUUGUGGACUUCACCCUGGAGGAGUGGCAGCAACUGGACUCUGCCCAGAAGAACCUCUACAGGGAUGUCAUGCUUGAGAACUACAGUCACCUGGUGUCCGUGGGGUAUCUAGUUGCGAAGCCAGAUGUGAUCUUCAGGUUGGGACCAGGUGAAGAGUCCUGGAUGGCAGAUGGAGGGACCCCGGUACGGACCUGUGCAGAAAGAAAUCCUUAUUGAUUACUAUAUCUUGCAUACAGAAGAGCAUUUAGAACACAUGCGUACUUUUCAGAAGAUCUAUAUAGCUAACACCUGGAUAAUCACCUCUCAGGUUGAGAACUACGACUCU